This 169-nucleotide non-coding RNA is filed under the name bovine gut metagenome. RNAcentral's name for it is "Lysine riboswitch". It matches the Rfam family "Lysine riboswitch aptamer". From Rfam's summary of the family: Riboswitches are metabolite binding domains within certain messenger RNAs that serve as precision sensors for their corresponding targets. The record is from RNAcentral.
GAUAGAGGUGCGGUAUUGCGCGUAAUAUGGGGUAGGCUGCCGAAGCUGAGGAUGCCGUAUGAAUAGCACUGCCGCCGAAAGGAAGAAAACCGGCAGCUUCUUCCUUGGUUGUAUGCCGCAGGGGUAUAUAACUGUCAUCAUAACGCUGUUUGAUGGAGAGCUAUCAGAU